Non-coding RNA from Acanthosepion pharaonis, 102 nucleotides. The record is from the annotation of a GenBank genome assembly. Lineage: Eukaryota; Metazoa; Mollusca; Cephalopoda; Sepiida; Sepiidae.
UACGGCCACAUCACGUUAACACCGGUUCCCGUACGAUCACCUAUGUUAAGAAGCGUUGGUCAGUACCUAGAAGGGUGACCGUUUGGGAAUACCAGGUGCUAU